UAGAUACCCGGGUAGUCCACACCGUAAACGAUGAAUGCCAGACGUCAGCAAGCAUGCUUGUUGGUGUCACACCUAACGGAUUAAGCAUUCCGCCUGGGGAGUACGGUCGCAAGAUUAAAACUCAAAGGAAUUGACGGGGGCCCGCACAAGCGGUGGAGCAUGUGGUUUAAUUCGACGCAACGCGCAGAACCUUACCAACCCUUGACAUACUUGUCGCGGAUUCCAGAGAUGGAUUCCUUCAGUUCGGCUGGACAAUGUACAGGUGCUGCAUGGCCGCCGUCAGAAG
This 286-nucleotide ribosomal RNA is filed under the name uncultured bacterium. RNAcentral describes it as "partial 16S ribosomal RNA". It matches the Rfam family "Bacterial small subunit ribosomal RNA", at positions 779 to 1061 of the family's 1533-position model. The record is from RNAcentral.